This 608-nucleotide long non-coding RNA is filed under the name Linum usitatissimum (flax). Its description in RNAcentral is "long non-coding RNA (LUSI_LNC004865)". The record is from RNAcentral. Lineage: Eukaryota; Viridiplantae; Streptophyta; Magnoliopsida; Malpighiales; Linaceae.
GCUUAGAAUCAACGAAGUGAAUACCGGUUGAACUUCCAGAGCUGGUCCCUAUUUUGGUUUGGCUGGUGCCAACACCAGCAUCCGUGGAUGGCGGAGGAACUGAAUUUGAUGUGGCAGGUGACCCAGACUUAAAAAUAGAUGAACCCAGGUCAGGGACUGUCGUUUUUGCAGAAUCUCUGUUAAAACCAGUGUUGAUGUCAUUCACAGAGCUGUAUGUGGGAAGGCCAGCAUUAGGAACAACUGAUAGGGAGCUAUCAGCUGCAGUUUGACUCGUUGAUGGCCCUGGAAGAGUUCCAUUUUGUAAACCAGACCCAAAUGAGAAGAUGCCUACAGCUGGCGAUGAUGCCAGUGCAGAUGGAGGCACAACUUUACUUGUCUGGAAAGAAUCACAAUGUUCAAUUCUGCCUGCACCUUUAUUUGAUGUGGCAGGUGACCCAAACUUAAAAAUAGAUGAACCCAGGUCAGGGACUGUCGUUUUUGCAGAAUCUCUGUUAAAACCAGUGUUGAUGUCAUUCACAGAGCUGUAUGUGGGAAGGCCAGCAUUAGGAACAACUGAUAGGGAGCUAUCAGCUGCAGUUUGACUCGUUGAUGGCCCUGGAAGAGUUCCA